Non-coding RNA from Cinara cedri, 229 nucleotides. The record is from the annotation of a GenBank genome assembly. NCBI's taxonomy places the organism in Eukaryota, Metazoa, Arthropoda, Insecta, Hemiptera, Aphididae.
AGGACACGGAUUUAUCUCACUGCGCCAAACAAAAUUUUCACCAGAGACCACUGAAAUUGAUCAUUGGAGCAAUGUUUAGAAAAGUAGUUUACAGACAGAUGGCGUAAAGGAAGUAUAGGGAAACAGCUUCCACUGGCAAGGAUGUCAUUUUCGAAAAUCCCGGAGGAGAACACUGUAUUUUUUCAAUAAUAUUUACGUUCCUGCUAACUGCUACCUAUAUGUAAGUUUA